This 73-nucleotide transfer RNA is filed under the name Bos taurus (domestic cattle). It matches the Rfam family "tRNA". From Rfam's summary of the family: Transfer RNA (tRNA) molecules are approximately 80 nucleotides in length. Their secondary structure includes four short double-helical elements and three loops (D, anti-codon, and T loops). Further hydrogen bonds mediate the characteristic L-shaped molecular structure. tRNAs have two regions of fundamental functional importance: the anti-codon, which is responsible for specific mRNA codon recognition, and the 3' end, to which the tRNAs corresponding amino acid is attached (by aminoacyl-tRNA synthetases). tRNAs cope with the degeneracy of the genetic code in two manners: having more than one tRNA (with a specific anti-codon) for a particular amino acid; and 'wobble' base-pairing, i.e. permitting non-standard base-pairing at the 3rd anti-codon position. Lineage: Eukaryota; Metazoa; Chordata; Mammalia; Artiodactyla; Bovidae. RNAcentral also lists the same sequence under 4 other names. The record is from Rfam by way of RNAcentral.
UCCUGGUGGAUCAGUUGGUAAAGAUCUCCUGCCUGCAAGGUAGGAGACCCAGGUUCAAUCCCUGGGUCAGGAA